This 49-nucleotide ribosomal RNA is filed under the name Torrubiella sp. RNAcentral's name for it is "partial 28S ribosomal RNA". Lineage: Eukaryota; Fungi; Ascomycota; Sordariomycetes; Hypocreales; Cordycipitaceae. The record is from RNAcentral.
GACCUCGAAUCAGGCAGGACUACCCGCUGAACUUAAGCAUAUCAAUAAG